Molecule: long non-coding RNA, 500 nt
Organism: Triticum aestivum (bread wheat)
Lineage: Eukaryota; Viridiplantae; Streptophyta; Magnoliopsida; Poales; Poaceae
Exons: 2
Source: RefSeq, a predicted model, not a curated record
CGGGGUCCGUGUGUGAGGAGAGGGGGUGGGGCUUGGGCAAGGAGUUGAGUUCAUCCCUCCUCCCUUUGAUCCAGUCCAGAUGGAUCUGCAAAACCAUGAGAGUAGAGUUUCAGAAUUCAACAUUGACCUUGGAUGGACGGAUGAUUCGUCUCUGCUUUGGAUGGAUGGAUGCUUCGUCUCUGCUUUGAUGAUUUGCUCAACCGCCGAUUUAUCAUUUUUAUCCCCAAACAAGUGGAGGAGUCCACGGGCGUAAUGGUUCCCAGCCGCAAGGGAAAGAACCCUCGUUCCCAGCCACGGCUAGGGUUCCCCCUGCCUCCCGUCGGUGCCGGCGCCGGUCUACCUCGUCUCCUAUGGCCUUACGGUCAAGGAGGCAUGGUGGAUCUCAGCCCUUGCCGGCGGGAGGGCUUCGUUUGUAGAUGCUUUUUUGAGUUUUUAUUAGGGAUUUUUUCCUGUUUGGAGAGAUCAGGCGGCAGCGACUCACUGAAGAUUGAAUAAGAUUA